Acanthosepion pharaonis is the source of this 112-nucleotide non-coding RNA. The record is from the annotation of a GenBank genome assembly. Lineage: Eukaryota; Metazoa; Mollusca; Cephalopoda; Sepiida; Sepiidae.
UACGACUAUAUCACAUUGAAGCACUGUUUCUCGUACGACCACAGAAGUUAAGCAAGAUCAAGCCUGGUCAGUAUCUAGAUGUGUGACCGCUUGGAAGUACCAGGUGCUGUAA